UACGUAGGGGGCAAGCGUUAUCCGGAUUUACUGGGUGUAAAGGGAGCGUAGACGGCGAAGAAAGUCUGAAGUAAAAGCCCGCGGCUCAACCGCGGAACUGCUUUGGAAACUUUUUUGCUGGAGUACCGGAGAGGUAAGCGGAAUUCCUAGUGUAGCGGUGAAAUGCGUAGAUAUUAGGAGGAACACCAGUGGCGAAGGCGGCUUACUGGACGGUAACUGACGUUGAGGCUCGAAAGCGUGGGGAGCAAACAGG
RNAcentral lists this ribosomal RNA (253 nucleotides) under uncultured bacterium. RNAcentral's name for it is "partial 16S ribosomal RNA". It matches the Rfam family "Bacterial small subunit ribosomal RNA", at positions 524 to 776 of the family's 1533-position model. The record is from RNAcentral.